UGGGGAAUUUUGGACAAUGGGCGCAAGCCUGAUCCAGCAAUGCCGCGUGCAGGAUGAAGGCCUUCGGGUUGUAAACUGCUUUUGUACGGAACGAAAAGCUUCUGGUUGAUACCUGGGAGUCAUGACGGUACCGUAAGAAUAAGCACCGGCUAACUACGUGCCAGCAGCCGCGGUAAUACGUAGGGUGCGAGCGUUAAUCGGAAUUACUGGGCGUAAAGCGUGCGCAGGCGGUUAUGUAAGACAGAGGUGAAAUCCCCGGGCUCAACCUGGGAACUGCCUUUGCGACUGCAUGGCUAGAGUGCGGCAGAGGGGGAUGGAAUUCCGCGUGUAGCAGUGAAAUGCGUAGAUACGCGGAGGAACACCGAUGGCGAAGGCAAUCCCCUGGGCCUGCACUGACGCUCAUGCACGAAAGCGUGGGGAGCAAACA
This 427-nucleotide ribosomal RNA is filed under the name uncultured bacterium. Its description in RNAcentral is "bacterial SSU rRNA". It matches the Rfam family "Bacterial small subunit ribosomal RNA", at positions 355 to 774 of the family's 1533-position model. The record is from RNAcentral.